RNAcentral lists this unclassified non-coding RNA (21 nucleotides) under Chlamydomonas reinhardtii. Its description in RNAcentral is "small RNA Cre_0533". The record is from RNAcentral. Lineage: Eukaryota; Viridiplantae; Chlorophyta; Chlorophyceae; Chlamydomonadales; Chlamydomonadaceae.
AGGAGGCUCGCUUGUCGCUGC